AGGACGAACGCUGGCGGCGUGCUUAACACAUGCAAGUCGAGCGGAAAGGCCCUUCGGGGUACUCGAGCGGCGAACGGGUGAGUAACACGUGAGUAAUCUGCCCCUAGCUCUGGGAUAGCUCCGGGAAACCGGGAUUAAUACCAGAUACAACCACUUUAGACAUCUCUUGUGGUGGAAAGAAUUUCGGCUAGGGAUGAACUCGCGGCCUAUCAGCUUGUUGGUGAGGUAACGGCUCACCAAGGCGACGACGGGUAGCCGGCCUGAGAGGGCGACCGGCCACACUGGGACUGAGACACGGCCCAGACUCCUACGGGAGGCAGCAGUGGGGAAUCUUGCGCAAUGCGCGAAAGCGUGACGCAGCAACGCCGCGUGGGGGAAGAAGGCUUUCGGGUUGUAAACCCCUUUCAGUUGGGACGAAGCUCCGUCGGUUAAUAGCCGGCUGGAGUGACGGUACCUUCACAAGAAGCACCGGCUAACUACGUGCCAGCAGCCGCGGUAA
RNAcentral lists this ribosomal RNA (499 nucleotides) under uncultured bacterium. RNAcentral's name for it is "SSU rRNA". It matches the Rfam family "Bacterial small subunit ribosomal RNA", at positions 26 to 523 of the family's 1533-position model. The record is from RNAcentral.